Molecule: ribosomal RNA, 497 nt
Filed under: uncultured bacterium
Lineage: Bacteria
Description: partial 16S ribosomal RNA
Rfam family: Bacterial small subunit ribosomal RNA
Source: RNAcentral
GAUGAACGCUGGCGGCGUGCCUAAUACAUGCAAGUCGAGCGAACAGACGAGGAGCUUGCUCCUCUGACGUUAGCGGCGGACGGGUGAGUAACACGUGGAUAACCUACCUAUAAGACUGGGAUAACUUCGGGAAACCGGAGCUAAUACCGGAUAAUAUAUUGAACCGCAUGGUUCAAUAGUGAAAGACGGUUUUGCUGUCACUUAUAGAUGGAUCCGCGCCGCAUUAGCUAGUUGGUAAGGUAACGGCUUACGAAGGCAACGAUGCGUAGCCGACCUGAGAGGAGGAUCGGCCACACUGGAACUGGGAGACGGUCCAGACUCCUACGGGAGGAAGCAGUAGGGAAUCUUCCGCAAUGGGCGAAAGCCUGACGGAGCAACGCCGCGUGAGUGAUGAAGGUCUUCGGAGCGUAAAACUCUGUUAUUAGGGAAGAACAAAUGUGUAAGUAACUAUGCACGUCUUGACGGUACCUAAUCAGAAAGCCACGGCUAACUACGUG